AACGAACGCUGGCGGCGUGCCUAAUACAUGCAAGUCGAGCGAGAAAGUCUCUUCGGAGAUGAGUAAAGCGGCGCACGGGUGAGUAACACGUGGGCAAUCUGCCCUCGAGUCUGGGAUAACCCGGGGAAACUCGGGCUAAUACCGGAUACGGCUACGGGGUCUUCGGAUCCUGUGGAGAAAGAUGGCCUCUUCUUGAAAGCUAUCUCUCGAGGAUGAGCCCGCGUCCUAUUAGCUAGUUGGUGGGGUAACGGCUCACCAAGGCAAAGAUGGGUAGCUGGUCUGAGAGGAUGACCAGCCACACUGGAACUGAGACACGGUCCAGACUCCUACGGGAGGCAGCAGUAGGGAAUUUUGGGCAAUGGGCGAAAGCCUGACCCAGCAACGCCGCGUGUGGGAUGAAGGCCCUCGGGUCGUAAACCACUGUCAGGAGGAAAGAAAAGUCGGCCGGGUAAUAUUCGGUCGACCUGACGGUACCUCCAAA
Molecule: ribosomal RNA, 481 nt
Filed under: uncultured bacterium
Lineage: Bacteria
Description: bacterial SSU rRNA
Rfam family: Bacterial small subunit ribosomal RNA
Source: RNAcentral